AGGGGUGUAGUUCAGUCGGUAGAACGGCGGUCUCCAAAACCGCAUGUCAAGGGUUCGAGUCCUUUCGCCCCUGCCA
Molecule: transfer RNA, 76 nt
Filed under: Rikenellaceae bacterium
Lineage: Bacteria; Pseudomonadati; Bacteroidota; Bacteroidia; Bacteroidales; Rikenellaceae
Description: tRNA-Trp
Rfam family: tRNA
About the family: Transfer RNA (tRNA) molecules are approximately 80 nucleotides in length. Their secondary structure includes four short double-helical elements and three loops (D, anti-codon, and T loops). Further hydrogen bonds mediate the characteristic L-shaped molecular structure. tRNAs have two regions of fundamental functional importance: the anti-codon, which is responsible for specific mRNA codon recognition, and the 3' end, to which the tRNAs corresponding amino acid is attached (by aminoacyl-tRNA synthetases). tRNAs cope with the degeneracy of the genetic code in two manners: having more than one tRNA (with a specific anti-codon) for a particular amino acid; and 'wobble' base-pairing, i.e. permitting non-standard base-pairing at the 3rd anti-codon position.
Source: RNAcentral